AUGAUGGGCGGGCCAGCGCCGAUGACAAUACUCACAGAUCAAUGCAGAGCUAUGGAGGUUGCAAUCAAGAAAACUUAUCCUGAUACAGUACACCAUUGGUGCAAAUGGCAUGUCCUAAAAAAGGCGAAGGAAACGCUAGGACCAUUGUACGCCAAGAAGAGUGACUUCCAGGCUGAAUUUCACAAAGUUGUGAACCACAUGCUAACUGAGGAAGAGUUUGAAUCAGCCUGGGGAGCUCUCCUCGACAAGUACAAUUUGAGGAAUCAUAACUACAUGACCCAAAUUUAUGAAACCAGAAGGAAAUGGGCGAAACCAUAUUUCCGGGGUGUUUUCUGUGCAAAAAUGACAAACACCCAAAGGAGCGAGAGCGCAAACCACAUGCUGAAAUCGUACAUGCCCCCAGCCAGCCCAAUGCAUGUAUUCGUCCGACAAUACUUGAAACUGUAG
Molecule: ribosomal RNA, 447 nt
Filed under: Triticum aestivum (bread wheat)
Lineage: Eukaryota; Viridiplantae; Streptophyta; Magnoliopsida; Poales; Poaceae
Description: partial small subunit ribosomal RNA
Source: RNAcentral